This 773-nucleotide ribosomal RNA is filed under the name Streptococcus anginosus. RNAcentral describes it as "bacterial SSU rRNA". It matches the Rfam family "Bacterial small subunit ribosomal RNA", at positions 28 to 776 of the family's 1533-position model. Lineage: Bacteria; Bacillati; Bacillota; Bacilli; Lactobacillales; Streptococcaceae. The record is from RNAcentral.
GACGAACGCUGGCGGCGUGCCUAAUACAUGCAAGUAGGACGCACAGUCUAUACCGUAGCUUGCUACACCAUAGACUGUGAGUUGCGAACGGGUGAGUAACGCGUAGGUAACCUGCCUAUUAGAGGGGGAUAACUAUUGGAAACGAUAGCUAAUACCGCAUAACAGUAUGUAACACAUGUUAGAUGCUUGAAAGAUGCAAUUGCAUCGCUAGUAGAUGGACCUGCGUUGUAUUAGCUAGUAGGUAGGGUAAUGGCCUACCUAGGCGACGAUACAUAGCCGACCUGAGAGGGUGAUCGGCCACACUGGGACUGAGACACGGCCCAGACUCCUACGGGAGGCAGCAGUAGGGAAUCUUCGGCAAUGGGGGGAACCCUGACCGAGCAACGCCGCGUGAGUGAAGAAGGUUUUCGGAUCGUAAAGCUCUGUUGUUGGUGAAGAAGGAUAUAGGUAGUAACUGGCCUAUAUUUGACGGUAAUCAACCAGAAAGUCACGGCUAACUACGUGCCAGCAGCCGCGGUAAUACGUAGGUGGCAAGCGUUGUCCGGAUUUAUUGGGCGUAAAGCGAGCGCAGGCGGAGAAAUAAGUCUGAUGUGAAAGCCCACGGCUCAACCGUGGAACUGCAUCGGAAACUGUUUUUCUUGAGUGCAGAAGAGGAGAGUGGAACUCCAUGUGUAGCGGUGGAAUGCAUAGAUAUAUGGAAGAACACCAGUGGCGAAGGCGGCUCUCUGGUCUGCAACUGACGCUGAGGCUCGAAAGCAUGGGUAGCGAACAGG